This 429-nucleotide ribosomal RNA is filed under the name uncultured bacterium. RNAcentral describes it as "bacterial SSU rRNA". It matches the Rfam family "Bacterial small subunit ribosomal RNA", at positions 355 to 776 of the family's 1533-position model. The record is from RNAcentral.
UGGGGAAUAUUGGACAAUGGGCGAAAGCCUGAUCCAGCAAUGCCGCGUGUGUGAAGAAGGCCUUCGGGUUGUAAAGCACUUUCGCGAGGGAAGAAAACUUAUGAUCGAAUAAAUCAUGAGGUUGACGGUACCUUGAUAUGAAGCACCGGCUAACUAUGUGCCAGCAGCCGCGGUAAUACAUAGGGUGCAAGCGUUGUCCGGAAUUAUUGGGCGUAAAGAGCUCGUAGGUGGUUCGAUACGUCGGAUGUGAAAAUCAGGGGCUCAACCCCUGACCUGCAUCCGAUACGGUCGAGCUAGAGUUUGGUAGGGGAGACUGGAAUUCCUGGUGUAGCGGUGGAAUGCGCAGAUAUCAGGAGGAACACCGAUGGCGAAGGCAGGUCUCUGGGCCAAUACUGACACUGAGGAGCGAAAGCGUGGGGAGCGAACAGG